CGGCGGACGGGUGAGUAACACGUGGGUAACCUACCUAUAAGACUGGGACAACUUCGGGAAACCGGAGCUAAUACCGGAUAAGAUAUCGAACCGCAUGGUUCGAUAGUGAAAGAUGGUUUUGCUAUCACUUAUAGAUGGACCCGCGCCGUAUUAGCUAGUUGGUGAGGUAACGGCUCACCAAGGCAACGAUACGUAGCCGACCUGAGAGGGUGAUCGGCCACACUGGAACUGAGACACGGUCCAGACUCCGUACGGGAGGCAGCAGCU
Molecule: ribosomal RNA, 267 nt
Filed under: uncultured Staphylococcus sp.
Lineage: Bacteria; Bacillati; Bacillota; Bacilli; Caryophanales; Staphylococcaceae
Description: partial 16S ribosomal RNA
Rfam family: Bacterial small subunit ribosomal RNA
Source: RNAcentral